This 197-nucleotide unclassified non-coding RNA is filed under the name Trametes hirsuta. Its description in RNAcentral is "ITS1". Lineage: Eukaryota; Fungi; Basidiomycota; Agaricomycetes; Polyporales; Polyporaceae. The record is from RNAcentral.
AAGGAUCAUUAACGAGUUUUGAAACGGGUUGUUGCUGGCCUUCCGAGGCAUGUGCACGCCCUGCUCAUCCACUCUACACCUGUGCACUUACUGUAGGUUGGCGUGGGUUUCUGGCCUCCGGGUUGGAAGCAUUCUGCCGGCCUAUGUACACUACAAACUCUUAAAGUAUCAGAAUGUAAACGCGUCUAACGCAUCUU